UACACCUGUUUGAGUGUCAUG
RNAcentral lists this ribosomal RNA (21 nucleotides) under Cronartium flaccidum. RNAcentral's name for it is "partial 5.8S ribosomal RNA". The record is from RNAcentral. Lineage: Eukaryota; Fungi; Basidiomycota; Pucciniomycetes; Pucciniales; Coleosporiaceae.